UACAGAGGUGGCAAGCGUUGUUCGGAAUUACUGGGCGUAAAGGGCGCGUAGGCGGCCCGUCAAGUCCCGUGUGAAAGCCCCCGGCUCAACCGGGGAACGGCGCGGGAAACUAGCAGGCUUGAGUUCGGGAGAGGGAAGCGGAAUUCCGGGUGUAGCGGUGAAAUGCGCAGAUAUCCGGAGGAACACCGGUGGCGAAGGCGGCGAUCUGGGUCGAGACUGACGCUGAUACACGAAAGCGUGGGAGCAAACAGG
RNAcentral lists this ribosomal RNA (252 nucleotides) under uncultured bacterium. RNAcentral's name for it is "partial 16S ribosomal RNA". It matches the Rfam family "Bacterial small subunit ribosomal RNA", at positions 524 to 776 of the family's 1533-position model. The record is from RNAcentral.